This 671-nucleotide long non-coding RNA is filed under the name Volvox carteri. RNAcentral describes it as "long non-coding RNA (VCAR_LNC000786)". Lineage: Eukaryota; Viridiplantae; Chlorophyta; Chlorophyceae; Chlamydomonadales; Volvocaceae. The record is from RNAcentral.
CCCGCCGCCUUCCUCACCUGCCGCCUCCUCCCCUGCCGCCUUCUUCCCCGCCGCCUUCAUCCCCGCCGCCUUCCUCCCCUGCCGCCUCCUCCCCUGCCGCCUUCUUCCCCGCCGCCUUAUUCCCCGCAGGCUCCUCCCCUGCCACCUCCUUCCCCGCCGCCUUCCUCACCUGCCGCCUUCUUCCCCGCCGCCUUCCUCACCUGCCGCCUCCUUCCCCUGCCGCCUUCUUCCCCGCCGCCUUCAUCCCCGCCGCCUUCCUCCCCUGCCGCCUCCUCCCCUGCCGCCUUCUUCCCCGCCGCCUUAUUCCCCGCAGGCUCCUCCCCUGCCACCUCCUUCCCCGCCGCCUUCCUCACCUGCCGCCUUCUUCCCCGCCGCCUUCAUCCCCUGCCGCCUUCUUCCCCUGCCGCCUCCUCCCCUGCCGCCUUCAUCCCCUGCCGCCUUCUUCCCCGCCGCCUUCUUUCCCUGCCGCCUCCUCCCCUGCCGCCUUCUUCCCCACCGCCUUCAUCCCCUGCCGCCUUCUUCCCCUGCCGCCUUCUUCCCCGCCGCCUUCAUCCCCUGCCGCCUUCUUCCCCGCCGCCUUCAUCCCCUGCCGCCUUCUUCCCCGCCGCCUUCAUCCCCUGCCGCCUUCUUCCCCGCCGCCUUCAUCCCCUGCCGCCUUCUUCCCCGCCGCN